This 1366-nucleotide ribosomal RNA is filed under the name uncultured bacterium. RNAcentral describes it as "bacterial SSU rRNA". It matches the Rfam family "Bacterial small subunit ribosomal RNA", at positions 28 to 1381 of the family's 1533-position model. The record is from RNAcentral.
GAUGAACGCUAGCGAUAGGCUUAACACAUGCAAGUCGAGGGGUAACGUGUUGGAAGCUUGCUUCCGAUGACGACGACCGGCGGAUGGGUGCGUAACGCGUAUGCAACUUGCCUCACAGUGGAGAAUAACCCGGAGAAAUCCGGACUAAUACUCCAUACACUCUUAGGUACACCUGUGUUUGAGAGGAAAGAUUUAUCGCUGUGAGAUAGGCAUGCGUCCUAUUAGGUAGUUGGUGAGGUAACGGCUCACCAAGCCGACGAUAGGUAGGGGUGCUGAGAGGCAGAUCCCCCACAUUGGGACUGAGACACGGCCCAAACUCCUACGGGAGGCAGCAGUGAGGAAUAUUGGUCAAUGGAGGAAACUCUGAACCAGCCAAGUCGCGUGAAGGAAGAAUGUCCUAAGGAUUGUAAACUUCUUUAGCGAGCGAGUAAGGACUUCCACGUGAUGGGAGUUUGAAAGUAGCUCGAGAAUAAGUAUCGGCUAACUCCGUGCCAGCAGCCGCGGUAAUACGGAGGAUACGAGCGUUAUCCGGAUUUAUUGGGUUUAAAGGGUGCGCAGGUGGUCUUGCAGUCAGUGGUGAAAAGCUGAGGCUCAACCUCAGCCUUGCCGUUGAAACUGCAAGACUUGAGAGUACAUGAUGUGGGCGGAAUGCGUAGUGUAGCGGUGAAAUGCAUAGAUAUUACGCAGAACUCCGAUUGCGAAGGCAGCUCACAAAGGUAUAUCUGACACUGAGGCACGAAAGCGUGGGGAGCGAACAGGAUUAGAUACCCUGGUAGUCCACGCCGUAAACGAUGAUUACUCGAAGUAUGCGAUAUGACAGUAUGCUUCCAAGCGAAAGUGAUAAGUAAUCCACCUGGGGAGUACGCCGGCAACGGUGAAACUCAAAGGAAUUGACGGGGGCCCGCACAAGCGGAGGAACAUGUGGUUUAAUUCGAUGAUACGCGAGGAACCUUACCCGGGAUUGAAAUGUAUGUGAGCCUUUUGGGAAACCGAGAGGGUUCUCUUCGGAGACACAUAUGUAGGUGCUGCAUGGUUGUCGUCAGCUUGUGCCGUGAGGUGUCGGCUUAAGUGCCAUAACGAGCGCAACCCUUAUCGUCAGUUACUAACAGGUAGCGCUGAGGACUCUGGCGAGACUGCCGUCGUAAGGCGAGAGGAAGGUGGGGAUGACGUCAAAUCAGCACGGCCCUUACAUCCGGGGCGACACACGUGUUACAAUGGUAGGGACAGAGAGUAGCCACUCGGUGACGAGGAGCGGAUCUUGAAACCCUAUCUCAGUUCGGAUCGGAGUCUGCAACUCGACUCCGUGAAGCCGGAUUCGCUAGUAAUCGCGCAUCAGCCAUGGCGCGGUGAAUACGUUCCCGGGCCU